Molecule: transfer RNA, 58 nt
Filed under: Otolemur garnettii (small-eared galago)
Lineage: Eukaryota; Metazoa; Chordata; Mammalia; Primates; Galagidae
Rfam family: tRNA
About the family: Transfer RNA (tRNA) molecules are approximately 80 nucleotides in length. Their secondary structure includes four short double-helical elements and three loops (D, anti-codon, and T loops). Further hydrogen bonds mediate the characteristic L-shaped molecular structure. tRNAs have two regions of fundamental functional importance: the anti-codon, which is responsible for specific mRNA codon recognition, and the 3' end, to which the tRNAs corresponding amino acid is attached (by aminoacyl-tRNA synthetases). tRNAs cope with the degeneracy of the genetic code in two manners: having more than one tRNA (with a specific anti-codon) for a particular amino acid; and 'wobble' base-pairing, i.e. permitting non-standard base-pairing at the 3rd anti-codon position.
Source: Rfam by way of RNAcentral
UGGCUCAAAGGAGUAGGGCACCGGCCCUAUAUGCCGGAGGUGGUGGGUUCAAACCCAC